RNAcentral lists this unclassified non-coding RNA (358 nucleotides) under soil metagenome. RNAcentral describes it as "partial contains 5.8S ribosomal RNA, internal transcribed spacer 2, and large subunit ribosomal RNA". The stretch from base 1 to 120 matches the Rfam family "5.8S ribosomal RNA", at positions 35 to 154 of the family's 154-position model. The record is from RNAcentral.
GAUGAAGAACGUAGCGAAAUGCGAUAAGUAAUGUGAAUUGCAGAAUUCAGUGAAUCAUCGAAUCUUUGAACGCACAUUGCGCCCGUCAGUAUUCUGGCGGGCAUGCCUGUUCGAGCGUCAUUACGCCCCUCAAGUCCCCUGUGGACUUGGUGUUGGGGAUCGGCGAGGCUGGUUUUCCAGCACAGCCGUCCCUUAAAUUAAUUGGCGGUCUCGCCGUGGCCCUCCUCUGCGCAGUAGUAAAACACUCGCAACAGGAGCCCGGCGCGGUCCACUGCCGGAAAACCCCCCAACUUUUUAUAGUUGACCUCGAAUCAGGUAGGACUACCCGCUGAACUUAAGCAUAUCAAUAAGCGGAGGA